RNAcentral lists this unclassified non-coding RNA (547 nucleotides) under Hevea brasiliensis (rubber tree). The record is from RNAcentral. Lineage: Eukaryota; Viridiplantae; Streptophyta; Magnoliopsida; Malpighiales; Euphorbiaceae.
CACCACAUUUUAGCAAAAGCACGUCCUCCAGCUAACCUUAUAGCCCUUGAUGUUUCAGAUGAGACCAACAGACCUCCAAGCAUCUCCAGAAAUACAUAAGCAAAAUCAUCUGCCAGUUCAGAAAAGCAUCCGGCUGCAAACAAAGAAGCCUUUGCCUCCAGAAUAUGCAUCGAACACAAGCUUGAAAGGAUGAGGUAUCUAACAUCAGCACUAUCUUUUGCAAUAUGAGCCCAGCAACCAAAUAGAACUAAAGCCAGUGCUCUUUCUUCAACGUUUCCAGAGUCGAAUACUAUCUUUAUUCUAGUCAAAAGUUCUCUAUAGCUAUCUACUUUAUCCUUCGAAAGGAUUCCCUCAUCUUUUCUUCCCUGGCUCCUCAGCUGCCUCCUCUGCUUGAGCUCUGACAAGAAAAUCUUCACUAUACAAAUCUUCAUAUGUUCGUCUCCCGACUUAAAUGCAUCUGCAAGCCUAAGAAGGAUAGCAUUUGCAAAUAGCUUAUCUUCCCCCGGAAUUAAGCCAAAUAUUUUGUACUCAGCAGCAUGAAGAUUGG